RNAcentral lists this ribosomal RNA (468 nucleotides) under uncultured bacterium. RNAcentral's name for it is "partial 16S ribosomal RNA". It matches the Rfam family "Bacterial small subunit ribosomal RNA", at positions 28 to 507 of the family's 1533-position model. The record is from RNAcentral.
GACGAACGCUGGCGGCGUGCUUAACACAUGCAAGUCGAACGGAAAGGCCCUGCUUUUGUGGGGUGCUCGAGUGGCGAACGGGUGAGUAACACGUGAGUAACCUGCCCUUGACUUUGGGAUAACUUCAGGAAACUGGGGCUAAUACCGGAUAGGAGCUCCUGCUGCAUGGUGGGGGUUGGAAAGUUUCGGCGGUUGGGGAUGGACCCGCGGCUUAUCAGCUUGUUGGUGGGGUAGUGGCUUACCAAGGCUUUGACGGGUAGCCGGCCUGAGAGGGUGACCGGCCACAUUGGGACUGAGAUACGGCCCAGACUCCUACGGGAGGCAGCAGUGGGGAAUAUUGCACAAUGGGCGGAAGCCUGAUGCAGCAACGCCGCGUGCGGGAUGACGGCCUUCGGGUUGUAAACCGCUUUCGCCUGUGACGAAGCGUGAGUGGCGGUAAUGGGUAAAGAAGCACCGGCUAACUACGUG